AGUACGUGAAACUGCUUAGAGGUUAAACCCGAUGAACCUGAAUAUCCAUUAUGGAAAAUUCAUCAGUAAUAAUAUAAUAUUUAAAUAUAUUAUAAAAAUAGUGUGCAAUUUUUCCAUAUAAGGACAUUGUAAUCUGUUAAUGUAAUAAAUAUUUAUCAAAAGAUUCAUUACUUAAAGUUUAUUCAAAUUAGUUAUUUUCGGAUUUCUAACAUAAAAUAAAUGUUUUGAAUUUGAUAAAUCAUUGACAGAUAUGAAUUGUGUAUAAUGUGCUUAAAUUUUUUUGAAAAAAAAAAUUUUACAAUAAUAUAUUAGAUCUUUAUUGAUUUAUAUAUUUAUAAUUGUAUGCAUAAUUAUGAUUGACAAUGCGAUAGAUUCAGGAUACCUUCGGGACCCGUCUUGAAACACGGACCAAGGAGUCUAACAUAUAUGCAAGUCAUUGGGUAUUUAUAAUAAAACCUAAUGGCGUAAUUAACUUAACUGUUAUAUAAUAUAAUAAUGGGAUUAGUUUAUAUUUUGUUAUGAAAUAUUAAAUUCAAUCCCGGGGCGUUCUUAUAUAGUUAUGCAUAAUAGUAUUUAUAUUAUUUAUGCCUCUAACUAGAAC
RNAcentral lists this ribosomal RNA (601 nucleotides) under Doros destillatorius. Its description in RNAcentral is "eukaryotic LSU rRNA". Lineage: Eukaryota; Metazoa; Arthropoda; Insecta; Diptera; Syrphidae. The record is from RNAcentral.